This 460-nucleotide ribosomal RNA is filed under the name uncultured bacterium. RNAcentral describes it as "partial 16S ribosomal RNA". It matches the Rfam family "Bacterial small subunit ribosomal RNA", at positions 338 to 795 of the family's 1533-position model. The record is from RNAcentral.
CCUACGGGUGGCAGCAGUGAGGAAUAUUGGUCAAUGGACGCGAGCCUGAACCAGCCAAGUAGCGUGAAGGAUGACUGCCCUACGGGUUGUAAACUUCUUUUAUAAAAGAAUAAAGUGAGGCACGUGUGCCUUUUUGUAUGUACUUUAUGAAUAAGGAUCGGCUAACUCCGUGCCAGCAGCCGCGGUAAUACGGAGGAUCCGAGCGUUAUCCGGAUUUAUUGGGUUUAAGGGGAGCGUAGAUGGUUUGUUAAGUCAGUUGUGAAAGUUUGAGGCUCAACCGUAAAAUUGCAAUUGAUACUGGCAGCCUUGAGUACAGUUGAGGUAGGCGGAAUGCGUGGUGUAGCGGUGAAAUGCUUAGAUAUCACGAAGAACUCCGAUUGCGAAGGCAGCUUACUAAACUGCCACUGACAUUGAUGCUCGAAAGUGUGGGUAUCAAACAGGAUUAGAUACCCCUGUAGUC